AGGGGGCGCCGCGUUGGAACGCCCGAAGAGGUGCUGCUGGGGUGGUUGGAAGCCGGUGGGGGGCGGGUGUAUGGCGGCUAGGCCUGGAAGACCACGAGGACCGCUAGCGCCGUGGGGUCACUCUUCCUCAUGCCACAGGUUGCCGAGCCUCGGGGGAGAGGUGGGGUCCCAGGGGCCAACCCUUGGGUGUGUUGAUGGCGGCAGGCUAACCCAGCCAACGGGGUGCCACUGCCGGGCAAGGGAAGACCACAAAAGCAUCCAACCACAGUCUGCGCUGCAGCCCGGCAGAACUAAGUCUUGGGCGCCGCGACGCCUUUCCUACGGAAUAGGUCCUGGAAGGAAGACCAUUUAAGUCUUUCCCCCCAGGACUGGCGAGGAGAGCACGCCUUCCCUUCCGAAGGUGCGUUACCAGAUUGCUGCCGUUUUUGUGCUGGGUCAUCAGAGCAGAUUCCCCUCCAGGUUACAGAUUAAACUUAACUCUACCCGUGCUGAAAAUGGCCGGAGCACGCCGCCUCGCCUCCCCUCCCCAAGGCUGCCGGAGCCGCCGGCCCCUGCCUCCUUUUCGACGACUGAUCGUCCAAGGACUGGCGCCGGAUCCAACACCUUUCCCCAGCUCUGCGCGUACCGCGCUCUUUGGAAACGAAUUGGUCCCUGUCUGCUUCCAAGGGUCCCUGGAACCUUCUGCAGCUGUGCCUCUCCAGAGCUCCGCCUCAUUAGUGCCACGUUCCUGGUUUGAAAACCAUAGUACUUCAACCUCUUCUAGAUGGGAGUUAACCUUUGCCCUCUGAAAGAAAGGUUUGAUAAGCAAAGAGAGUUUGGUGAGCAAGAUCCUUGAGGUAAGAGCUGAUCUCUGACGUCCGCUGGGAACUGGCUGCUCUGCAGGUUUCUGUAUCACAUUUUCUGCACAUGUCCAUUAGAAUUGGAGAUGGGGCGUAUCUAGUGUUGAAUAAAGGCCCGGCAGGCCCUCCCAGAUGCACCCUGUCA
Long non-coding RNA from Homo sapiens (human), 984 nucleotides. Ensembl annotates it as GNAS antisense RNA 1. Its record names the gene GNAS-AS1. Lineage: Eukaryota; Metazoa; Chordata; Mammalia; Primates; Hominidae. The record is from Ensembl.